AUGAAUUCACGUGCAACACUGACAGCGUCCCUUGUCAUUACAGGAUAUUGUUCGCUAAUAAACCGGUGGCAUCAAUCAUCGUUAGUAAAACGAAACGGUGGAUACGCGGUGUUCUCGAUCGGGAAUAAAAUACAGAAAGGCAGAAUUUUACUGUCAGAACUCAAGCUUUCCAGAGGUCUUCCGUAUCCAAAUACAACGACGACGAUUCGACAACAUGCCGUGGGAGUUCGGAGGUCUGUUUACACGAGUUCGCAAAUAUAGCCAUAGGUAUCGGAGCCAACCGAAGCGAAGAAUUGAUAAAUUAGUUAUUCCGUCAGUCGCCUGCCGCUGUUUCUCUAGGUUUGUCUCCUUCGUGAUCCUCGUUCGGUAUGAGCUGCACUCUCAAGGACUAUGUUGAAACAGGCGUGAACGCAAUGCAUCUAAGGAUCUGUUCUGACCGCAGGCCUGUAUCCGCAGCGACGACGGUUUGAAUUGAAGACUUUUGCGGAUGGUAACUCGUUGGCUCACGCGCUAACGUAUUUGCAAGAUCCGCUACGCUGAUGGACAUAUAAUGCGACGUGUGAUUGUAGGCCCGCCAAUCGCGGCCGAUUGUGCCUCUGAAGGCCCGCUAACUAUCUCAAACUAGCCCCAUUCAAGCUGCCACGACCUCUCUCUAUCCAUCUCUAUCCGCCACCAUACCUCUGUGUCUCGCUCGUUCCAACCCUCCGCACCUCGUUCACCGCCACCCACCACCCCCAAAGCCCAUACCUCUCGCUCAUCCCUAACCUUUCUCUCCCUUGCACCCCGACUCUCGUCUCGUUUGCUCCGACUUCGCAGCGAUUUUCCCCUCCAGCACGGUAAGCUCUACCUCCUCGUCCUUUCUGGCUCCAUGUAUUUCUUGCCGCACGUUUCUUCCGCGCCUCGUAUCCUGCUCUAAUUUUCGACCAGCUCUUUCGCGGCACACGUAAUCUUCCAUUUUAUUCGCUUCAUCCUUUCUAACGCGUGAUUCCUCGCCCCACGAGCCCGGUUAUUUUUUCUCCGGGGUACCGGCGAGUGUUUUGCUUUCCAUUUACCAUCCCUUUAUCUCGCUGAGUCUAUUCACCUGCGUUCUGAGGUUUUUGCGAUUUCUUUCCUUUCGCCCUCCUAGGAACGAGUGUGCCCGAUUGGGAACCUGAUGAAACAAAUCUCUGUAGAGUUUGUUGAAAAAGUUAUAUGUGAUUUGACUAUGAUCAUGUUGAUAUCGCAUCCGUUGUUGAGUACAUGUCUUCCAUAAAAAUAUAGAAAACAUAUUGCGUCCCAUUUUAAAAAAUGAAGGGGACAUUGAUAUCUCGAAAUCGCUUCCACCCAGAAAAGAAUAAUUACUGUCACCUUUUUUCCCCUCUUGAAAUUGAUUACUUUGUGUCAGAACUAUUUUUCAAUGCGACUUCGAAUUUUGUAGACAAUUGCGUCGGUCACCGUAUAAGAAUCCCCCUGUAUAUUCUUUUUAUAAGGUUGUAAAAGUAGAGUAAAAUUCACGUAGUAGAUGGUUAAGACAGAACUGUGGGAGAGUAAGAUCUGUUCGUGGGAGAGUGAACCUCUCUUUUAUAGGGCGUUAGGGAUGUAAUUUUAAGAUCUUAAAUGUUUCAGAAAAUACACUUAAUAAAACAGACGAUUUUUCAUCCAACCAGGAGCCUGCUUCAACCCGGUUUCCCAUCGUUCUUCGAUUUGUAAAUUCAUACAUUUCC
Long non-coding RNA from Hylaeus volcanicus, 1703 nucleotides. RefSeq lists it as uncharacterized. NCBI's taxonomy places the organism in Eukaryota, Metazoa, Arthropoda, Insecta, Hymenoptera, Colletidae. The transcript is spliced from 3 exons. The record is from RefSeq and is a predicted model, not a curated record.